This 255-nucleotide ribosomal RNA is filed under the name Triticum aestivum (bread wheat). Its description in RNAcentral is "partial small subunit ribosomal RNA". Lineage: Eukaryota; Viridiplantae; Streptophyta; Magnoliopsida; Poales; Poaceae. The record is from RNAcentral.
AUGUCUUGGGAUGAUAUUUGUAACUUACAUAAAAAGGGUGAUCAUCCUUGGGUUGUUCUAGGAGAUUUUAGUGAAACUGUAUACUCAUCUCAAAAAGAGGGCGGUAAUGCGAGACCAAAUGAUAUGAUGAAGAAUUUCCAUGACUGUCUCAUGGAGUGUGGUCUGUAAGAUUUGGGUUUCGUUGGUGACCCUUUUACUUGGAAGAGAGGUGAUAUCACAGAAAGACUUGACCUAGAAUUUUGUCAUGUCGUGUGA